AUUGAACGCUGGCGGCAUGCCUUACACAUGCAAGUCGAACGGCAGCACGGGUGCUUGCACCUGGUGGCGAGUGGCGAACGGGUGAGUAAUACAUUGGAACGUACCUUAUCGUGGGGGAUAACGCAGCGAAAGCUGUGCUAAUACCGCAUACGCCCUGAGGGGGAAAGCGGGGGAUCGCAAGACCUCGCGCGAUUAGAGCGGCCGAUGCCUGAUUAGCUAGUUGGUGGGGUAAAAGCCCACCAAGGCGACGAUCAGUAGCUGGUCUGAGAGGACGAUCAGCCACACGGGGACUGAGACACGGCCCAGACUCCUACGGGAGGCAGCAGUGGGGAAUUUUGGACAAUGGGGGCAACCCUGAUCCAGCAAUGCCGCGUGAGUGAAGAAGGCCUUCGGGUUGUAAAGCUCGUUUGUCAGGGAAGAAACACCGGCUCUAACACAGUCCGGGAAUGACGGUACCUGAAGAAUAAGCACCGGCUAACUACGUGCCAGCCGCCGCCGUAA
RNAcentral lists this ribosomal RNA (501 nucleotides) under uncultured bacterium. Its description in RNAcentral is "partial 16S ribosomal RNA". It matches the Rfam family "Bacterial small subunit ribosomal RNA", at positions 29 to 523 of the family's 1533-position model. The record is from RNAcentral.